This 342-nucleotide unclassified non-coding RNA is filed under the name soil metagenome. RNAcentral's name for it is "partial contains 5.8S ribosomal RNA, internal transcribed spacer 2, and large subunit ribosomal RNA". The stretch from base 1 to 120 matches the Rfam family "5.8S ribosomal RNA", at positions 35 to 154 of the family's 154-position model. The record is from RNAcentral.
GAUGAAGAACGCAGCGAAAUGCGAUACGUAAUGUGAAUUGCAGAAUUCAGUGAAUCAUCGAGUCUUUGAACGCACAUUGCGCCCCCUGGUAUUCCGGGGGGCAUGCCUGUCCGAGCGUCAUUGCUGCCCUCAAGCACGGCUUGUGUGUUGGGGAUCGGCGUGCCCUCGCGGCGCGCCGUCCCCUAAAUCUAGUGGCGGUCUCGCUGUAGCUUCCUCUGCGUAGUAGCAACACUCGCACUGGAUCGCAGCGCGGCCACGCCGUUAAACCCCCCACUUCUGAAAGUUUGACCUCGGAUCAGGUAGGAAUACCCGCUGAACUUAAGCAUAUCAAUAAGCGGAGGA